RNAcentral lists this ribosomal RNA (798 nucleotides) under Microcosmus squamiger. Its description in RNAcentral is "SSU rRNA". It matches the Rfam family "Eukaryotic small subunit ribosomal RNA", at positions 445 to 1240 of the family's 1831-position model. Lineage: Eukaryota; Metazoa; Chordata; Ascidiacea; Stolidobranchia; Pyuridae. The record is from RNAcentral.
CCAUUCCCGACACGGGGAGGUAGUGACGAAAAAUAACAAUACAGGACUCUAACGAGGCCCUGUAAUUGGAAUGAGCACAGUCUAAAGGUUUUAACGAGUAUCCAUUGGAGGGCAAGUCUGGUGCCAGCAGCCGCGGUAAUUCCAGCUCCAACAGUGUAUGCUAAAGUUGUUGCGGUUGAAAAGCUCGUAGUUGGAUCUUGGCUGGGCGCCGCCGGUCCGUCGCAAGGCGUGUUACUGGCGGCGCUCUCCCCCGGUUUUCGGUUCGCCCGAUCGGUGCUCUUGACUGAGUGUCGUCGGUGGCCGAUGAGAUUACUUUGAAAAAAUUAGAGUGUUCAAAGCAGGCUCCUCGCCUGAAUAGUGUUGCAUGGAAUAAUGGAAUAGGACCUCGGUUCUAUUUUGUUGGUUUUCGGAACGUUGAGGUAAUGAUUAAGAGGGACAGACGGGGGCGUCCGUACUCUGCCGUUAGAGGUGAAAUUCUUGGAUCGGCGGAAGACGAACUACUGCGAAAGCAUUCGCCAAGAAUGUUUUCUUUAAUCAAGAGCGAAAGUCAGAGGUUCGAAGACGAUCAGAUACCGUCCUAGUUCUGACUAUAAACGAUGCCAACUAGCGAUCGGGAGGCGUUACCAUGACGACCUUCCCGGCAGCUUCCGGGAAACCAAAGUCUUUGGGUUCUGGGGGAAGUAUGGUUGCAAAGCUGAAACUUAAAGGAAUUGACGGAAGGGCACCACCAGGAGUGGAGCCUGCGGCUUAAUUUGACUCAACACGGGGAAACUCACCCGGCCCGGACACAGGGAGGAU